AGGACGGACACGGGGUGCGCUGACGCGCUGAGAUCACACCCGUGGAACCUGCUCUAGUUCGAACUAGCGAAGGGAUGUCUCGUGACGUCUAC
Molecule: non-coding RNA, 92 nt
Filed under: Bowdeniella nasicola
Lineage: Bacteria; Bacillati; Actinomycetota; Actinomycetes; Actinomycetales; Actinomycetaceae
Description: Actinomyces nasicola TPP sequence
Rfam family: TPP riboswitch aptamer (THI element)
About the family: Vitamin B(1) in its active form thiamin pyrophosphate (TPP) is an essential coenzyme that is synthesised by coupling of pyrimidine and thiazole moieties in bacteria. The previously detected thiamin-regulatory element, thi box was extended, resulting in a new, highly conserved RNA secondary structure, the THI element, which is widely distributed in eubacteria and also occurs in some archaea.
Source: Rfam by way of RNAcentral